RNAcentral lists this signal recognition particle RNA (230 nucleotides) under bovine gut metagenome. RNAcentral describes it as "Bacterial large signal recognition particle RNA". It matches the Rfam family "Bacterial large signal recognition particle RNA", at positions 3 to 229 of the family's 256-position model. Rfam says of the family: The signal recognition particle (SRP) is a universally conserved ribonucleoprotein involved in the co-translational targeting of proteins to membranes. Archaeal SRP consists of a 7S RNA and homologues of the eukaryotic SRP19 and SRP54 proteins. In most bacteria, the SRP consists of a 4.5S RNA and the Ffh protein (a homologue of the eukaryotic SRP54 protein). The record is from RNAcentral.
GCACUAGUUGGGGAGCUAGCGGUGCCCUGUAACCUGCAAUCCGCUACAGCAGGGAUGAAUUCCCGCCCCCGGAUAGCCGAUGUGUCGUCUGACCGCAGUAAGCGGUGAUGAAGGUCCGGUCCCGCGCAACGGAACCCCGUGAACCAUGUCAGGCGGGGAACCGAGCAGCAUUAAGCGGGUCAUUCCGUGUGCCGUGGGGCAACCGGACCGGAGCUGGCUGCUGUGGUAAC